RNAcentral lists this ribosomal RNA (543 nucleotides) under uncultured delta proteobacterium. RNAcentral describes it as "bacterial SSU rRNA". It matches the Rfam family "Bacterial small subunit ribosomal RNA", at positions 382 to 916 of the family's 1533-position model. Lineage: Bacteria; Deltaproteobacteria. The record is from RNAcentral.
CCUGACGCAGCGACGCCGCGUGAGUKAUGAAGGCUUUCGGGUCGUAAAGCUCUGUCAAGUGGGAAGAAACCACGAGGUGAUAAUAUCGCUUUGUGCUGACGGUACCACUGAAGGAAGCACCGGCUAACUCCGUGCCAGCAGCCGCGGUAAUACGGGGGGUGCAAGCGUUAUUCGGAAUCAUUGGGCGUAAAGGGCGCGUAGGCGGUUUGUUAAGUCAGAUGUGAAAGCCCGGGGCUCAACCCCGGAAGUGCAUUUGAUACUGGCGGACUUGAGUAUGGGAGAGGGAAGUGGAAUUCCUGGUGUAGAGGUGAAAUUCGUAGAUAUCAGGAGGAACACCGGUGGCGAAGGCGACUUCCUGGACCAAUACUGACGCUGAGGCGCGAAGGCGUGGGUAGCAAACAGGAUUAGAUACCCUGGUAGUCCACGCAGUAAACGGUGAUCACUAGGUGUAGCGGGUAUUGACCCUGCUGUGCCGCAGUUAACGCAUUAAGUGAUCCGCCUGGGGAGUACGGCCGCAAGGUUAAAACUCMAAGGAAUUGACGG